Molecule: non-coding RNA, 1299 nt
Organism: Zonotrichia albicollis (white-throated sparrow)
Lineage: Eukaryota; Metazoa; Chordata; Aves; Passeriformes; Passerellidae
Source: RefSeq, a predicted model, not a curated record
GUAAGAUAAUGUUGGACUAUUAAAUCCUAUAAAUAGUUCAAGUACUGAAGAGCAAGUUCCACAGAGCCAGGACAAGUGUGGGUAGUUAAGCCUUUCUUCCCUUUUCAUGCAUAUAUGAGGAAACAGGAUCAUGAUAAAGGAACACAUUUAAGCAAAGCUUCUUGUCUCAUUUUGUACUAAAAGUAAGAUUGUUUAGAGGUGCUCUCUGCACUUUUUCUACACUUUAAAUAUGAGUACAAUGAUGACAUACUGUGUCAUAUUGAAUUGAUUUGUUCCAUCACUGAAUUGAUUUAUUACAUACCAGCUUUGUUUCUGCUUGCUUCCUACAAUGUACUAGUACCUGUUGGAUGUGCUUUGAUGCAGAAUGCUGUUACCCAUUUUGAUUACCAACAGGCUCAUCAGGAAAAAAAGAAGUUUGAGGAAAAAUGUUUGAGGGAUCACAUGUGAUGCUUUGCCUCCUGCUCCAGAGUACCAGCAAUACCAGAACUAUUUAAAGCCUGUAGAACUUGAGGAUGUUUGCAGAGUACUUGGAAGAGAAGUAUACACUUCAGGGAAUAAAACUCUUACUUAUCAAAACGCUGACGUGAGCAGUGGACAUGAGCACAGCCUCUCUCUGCAGCAACAGACACAAAAGUGAAGCAGGACUCGGAUACAUUAAAGCUCAACUGCACUGGAGCUCAAUGCCAGCGUUUAUGGGCAUCCUUGACUUUCACACAUUGGCAUGGCAACCUGUAAAAGCUGCAUUUAUGUCCACGCAGGCACACAGGGAUAUGCUGUAACUAAAGAUGGGGUAGAGAUGUGACCUUUGGCUGUCUCCAACCCUACACUGCUUUCUCCUGUUCCACGCCAAAGCGUUGCUAAUCAGAAUCAAAUUAAUUUUUAAGGUGAGACCUGGUCAAAGUUGUGCCUGUAAUCAGACAUUUAUUACAGUUUUCAAAACCUGACUUUACUGUUUAAAAGAAGUGGAACAUGGUAAAAAAUUUCAGUCAAGUGUUUUGCUACAGUUACUAAGGCUGUUGCAUAUUUGUCUGGUGUUACUAAUCCAAACUUGAAAAGAUCUUAGGAAAAAUUAAGAGGAGGAAGAGACCUGCAUUUUUUGUUUAAUGGUUUCAGCCAUUCAGAGUAGAUAACAAGGCAAAAUUUCAGAGUGACUGUUUGAAAUAACAAUUUUGUUCUGUUCCUGAAAUGGAAUUAACAACUUGUAAAUUAAUAAUUUUGAAAGUUCUUAAUUGCCAGAUUCAGAAGCAUUCUAAUUCUGUAGUCCGAGCAUACAGUAAUAAAAUAAUUAAGCUGAAAAUA